GUUGGUUGUUGUGAUUGUGGGUUGGCUGUGUUGUGAACGUGGACACGGCAUGAAACGACCGUGCACCUGGUUUUAUCAAGAAACCAUCAGUGGAUGACCGCGUUACUGCCACGGAUAGGGUCCACAGUAUCGUCUAAUCCCACGUGCAACAGCGGCACAUCGGGGAACGUUAAGCUGGCACCCAGCUCGCCUGCACACUUACUCGUCUCGUCUCCAUCGCAAAACUCACGCAGAUCAACUUCUGAACUUACAGCGGCGUUCGUGACGUCUUCUGUUUAUGCAUCGCGUCGGACUGUAGACUUGGCAACGUUCUGCUUGCGCUCUGUGUAUUCCUCCGGAGUCUUCGAAAUUCGUACGCUUCACCCAGGGGUUGAUCUACACCUGUGGUGCCUGCCGUUUCGAUGAUAUGUCGUCCUUCAGGUUUCAGAAGAGCCGCAGACUCCGGGGACGUCUCCUACAGCUAGCCACCCACCACCUUCCCGAGAUACAUUGUGUCGUGAUCCGCAACCGCCAACAAAGGACCCGGUCGACUUGCGUUUUUAAUUUUUAAUUAACUAGUGAACUAAUUCCACAUCCAAGCACUUUCGCCGGAUCUCUUGCCCUUUCCGGAGGGCUGGACGAAGCCUCGUGCAUUUUACAGCUAGUACAUGUUCGAUCGUUCAAUUCUAGUUUCGGCACAUGGCGCGCGAUGUUGUGAUUUCCUCCAAUUAAGCCCAAAUGUCUCGGUUUACAUCACCCCUUUUCUUACUUCAAACAUGAGAGGGCUUCCUCGGGGAUAAUAAAAUAAAACUACUUUCCUUAUUGCGUGUUUUUAAUGACUUGUGCCUGGUUAGAGAUGAUAUUUUUGUUUUGCUUUACUUUGUUUUGUGGUUGAAGUGGGACAAGGAUGAAACACCACAGUCAUAGCUUGAUGGAGGCCCAGGCGUCUUCAUUAAAAUGACACUGAACUCCCCCCCCCCCCCAUUUUUUUAUGUGCCGGAAGAGAACAUUUGUGUCGCAAAGUAAAGUUUCCGCUAAAAAAAUAAUUUUUUGUGCUACAGUUAUGUUGAGAGAAUCAUUUUAAGCUCUUUUCAAAACUUUGCAGGUCAGAAUCUGGGCCUUCUCCGAAGGAUAAAGUGGUGAAUGGCAUGUUGCUGCCUCGGAAAGAUGGCCAUUCUUCUGCCAAGUCAACCUUAGGCAGUGUCGUACCCAUGGAGGUAGGAAGCUUCUAAAGGUGACAUGACGCCUCCAAAGGUGAUAUCGGAGGGGACUUUGAGUUUGGAGGGACACGCUCCCCAACGGUGACCAAAACCAAAAGACGCUAUUGGACAGAAAGGACAGCUGAUUUGGUGCCAACAGCUGUUUUGGUCAACCUUGGGGGCGUUGCCACCAAUUGCUCCCUCUACUUCCGUCUCCACUUACGAUUUUCUCGUUUGGCUGGCUUGAGCCGGUAUGUCGCUUCUUCUUCCUACCUCCAUGGCCAGACCUUUGUGUUAUGUUCUCACAGAGAUGUGACAGGUCAGAUCAAAUGCCGUGUGGCCACAGCGUGAUCACUUGCAUGCCGUCGUUCUUACUGUCUACUUUACCUUAGCUAGCAAACCCACCUGAUUUUAUUUGUUGCCAUCUUAUCCUCAGAAGUGGACCCAGCAUGACAUGGUGCUAUUGUUGCUUUUGCGUUAUACCUUUCAGGAGACUGGAAGCACACAGAGCACUGUACUUGUGCCACACUUUUUUUUUUUAUUGAAGGCCAUGCUUCUUUUCUCCAGUGAUGUCUAUCUAUUGGCUUCUGUGGCCUGUGAUGUAUUGAAGCACAGAUAGACUGCAUCUAAUUAAAAUUGCGAAUGUUUUUUUUUUCUUUUUUUUUUUAGAGUGCAGCUUUUAAGCGUUUGUUUCUGGGUUUACCGGCGUCAGCGUCGGUGUAACUGCACGUAGCAUUAUGGGACAUUUUUCAUAAUGACGUCACACGUAAUGUCACGUGUGACGUCACAAAGGUAAACUUUUCCCGCUAAACUUGCUGGGAAAACUCCCCCACUAAAUUUAGCGGGAAAAGUUUUGCACUAAAUUUCCCCGCUAAUUUUAGCAGGAAUGUUUUUCCGCUAAAUAUAGCAGAAAGAUUUCCACGCUAAAUUUAGCGGGGAAAUCAAUGUCACGUGAACUCAACACCAAUUCAGUUUUACCGCUACAUUUAGCGGGAAAAUGUUUCUGCUAAAUUUAGUGGAAAAAAUUUCCCGCUAAAUUUAGCGAGGAAAUUUUUGCUAAAUUUUACGCUAAAUUUAGCGGGGAAAUGUUGGUAAAUUUCACGCUAAAUUUAGCGGGGAAUAUUUCUUCGCUAAAUUUAGCUAGGAAAUUUUUGCUUAAUUUAGUGGGAAAUCCAGCGAAAAUUUCCCGCUCAAUGGGAGGGGAGUGGGGGCAUACCCUCCCCUCUUUACCCCCCCUCCUCCUCAAGAGCUGCGCUCUAAUUCGGCAUUACGGAGAAUCGUAAACAUCUUUCAUUUUUUUACAUCAGUGUAACUUGAUGUUCAGAGUGCACUUGUUUGUGUACAGUUCUGUGGCUGUGCCACUUCUGGAGUUAUCCACUGGAUGAGCGUAAACUCCUGAGCUUACUUGAUGCAUUCAAGUGUAGCUGUCCUUUUGUUGUGAUUUCUUGUGGGACCAGUUUCUUGAGUAGUGUAAAUAACUCGCAUUGAAUUUGAUCUGCCUUUCAACAGGGUUUUCCAAGACAACCUUUGGCGGCGAAGGGGUUUUCACUGACGGUAGAUUUCUCCUUCCGAAAUGCCAGUUUGAACUGGCAGCAAUGCAAGGUGCUUCACAGAGGGAGUGGUAUGCUUAUCAGCACCCCUUGCUCGUACUCCAACAGGAAUGAAUUGAAUGCCACCAGGCAUGAGAGCAAGCACACUGGACAGAAACUACCCUAAUUUGCAGUUUGUUAAAACCAUACUCAUCUAAAGCUUCAAAGAGGAGUCAUGAAUGAUUCCACAUGGACGACAAGACUGUUUGAUACUAGAUGUUUUAGAGGGUUAGUUUUGACAUAGUAUUAGAAGACUGGCUGAAAGGUCUACUAAAAGACAAAAUGGUUAAAUAAAAUUCACAGGAUCUCUUUAGGUUAUUCCUUAGAUGACUUGAAGGCGAAAGCCCAAGCGCCGCUGCAUCAAAGACGACACAUCAUUUACAGAUGUGGCGGUACCCCUCCGCCGUGGCAGAGGGGUAACGUGUCGGACUAUUGAACGAAAGGUUGCUGGUGCGACGCCAGCCGAGGGACAAGAGCAAAAAGUCUUUUCGGAGGAAUAUUAAAAUUCAGAUGUCACAUAAACAUUUUGGUACCUUUUGUGCCGCUGACGUGUUUUCGCUCGAGGACUUUGGAGGUCAACUAAAUGAAAAGGCGUAUAAUACUUUUGACUUAAAAAUUUAGUUGACCAUGCACCAAAUUUGACAUCUUUACAAUGACAUGUGCAAAAGCUCAACAUCAUAUGGUUACCUACUUUGUGCUGUUUUGGUUGGUAUGACAAAAAGUACAUGGCAAUGUUUCAUAAUUCUUAUCUAUGUUGUAGCCCUGAAAUGUUUUUUGUUUCACUAGCCUGAGAUAUAGUUCUCAUAUUUUCAGUAGUGUUAUCAACAUUUGGCAUGAAAAAGGCAAAUAUUUAAUCAAUACUUUUAUCUUAAGUGGUUAAUUUCACUGAUUUGUCCCACUUGUAGAGGUAUAAAAUCAUGUUUAUAUCUGCAGAUAGAACUCUUCAUUAGCUAAUGUAUUGGCCUGACAGUGUAUAAAGAACCUUGUCAAAUAUGAUCAAAAUGCAUCCUUAGGCUGAGAGACUGAGUGCCUUCUCUUGGCUGAGAGAGCCCUUGAAUGCUGUCUGUCCAGAAAAAUGUCUGUAAAAUUAAAACUGGCACGAUUCCUUUCGUUCCACUGCUCUCACAGAUGAGAUCGAGGCAUACCCGGAAAAGAAAGGGGCCCUUGGCUGCGAGGAUGGAGGGAGCAACCUCUCUUUUUCAAAAGCCCGGUUGGACAUGCAGCAGCAGAGGACGUACCAUCAACAGGGCACGCACCGCUGCCGCUUCUGCUCUUACCACAGCCGCUAUGCACACAAUGUGGCCUGUCACGAGAGGAUCCACACAGGGGAGAGGCCCUUCCACUGCCGUUUCUGCCACAAGGCUUUUCCACACAGGUCUAACCUACGAACACACGAAAAGGUGCACACAGGCGAAAAACCGUUCAGGUGUCAGUUUUGCCAGCGAGCGUUUGUGCAGAACAUUCACCUAGUGCAUCACGAAAGGAUCCACACCGGGGAGAGGCCGUUUCAGUGUGGGACUUGCGGAAAAGCGUUUAUCCAUUUGUCUUCCAUGACACGCCAUGAGAGAGGUCACACGAGAGUGCAGCCCUAGAGUUGCGAAACCCAUGAGAGGGGUUUCUCCCAGACGUAGCUUUUAAACGAGCACAAGAGGUAAUACGUGCAAGGAAUACCACCGUUGUGAGACCUCUGGAGAUGCAUUGCACGGAAAACUUGUUUCAAACUCCUAUGUGUUAAUGCCUGGCAGCUGACCUGCAGGUCCUGUAUUUGCAAGAAAUUUGGUUUGCAUGAGGUUAGAUAUUUGCAAUGCCUGGUUUACGACAUAUUCUGAAAAGAUAAUAUGUCAGUUUGAUACUUUAGUUUCAUGUUUCGUUGAAGAGGAAACGACUAUGUAUGGCCAUAAAAAUAUGCUUUUUUGUUUCAAAGUGGUCAAAAUAUUAGGCACUGAAGAAAUUCGGCCAUCUGCAUUUAACUCUUUUUUAAUCUUUUUUUUUUUGCAUUCCUCCCAUUGGAGAGCAUGGCAAAAGAGCUGAAGUGCACCUGAUCUCGCCACACAGCCAUCUCCUUUUCGCAAAAUAAAGUUUGUCUGAUUUGGUCACCAUCA
Ixodes scapularis (black-legged tick) is the source of this 4869-nucleotide RNA transcript. It is a transcript of the gene named zinc finger protein 2, with no coding region annotated. The transcript is spliced from 3 exons. The record is from RefSeq and is a predicted model, not a curated record. NCBI's taxonomy places the organism in Eukaryota, Metazoa, Arthropoda, Arachnida, Ixodida, Ixodidae.